AUGAAGGGUGAACGACAAUUCUUCAGGUUGACCACAAGGACGUUAUCAGGAGACUUUGCCAAGUGACUAGUGGAAAUCCAGCCUCUCCACCAUCCAGGCCCUAAGAGAACUCACUAGUCUUUUGUCUGGAGCCAGGAAAGGAAGGAAUCAUCGGGAGAAAAGAGACUGCCUUCUCCUCUUGCCUCACCCACUGGAACAAGGGGGAUCUCACAGGAAGGUCACAGCAAAGGUUAUGUCGGUUUCAUAAAAUUUUUGAGUUGGAUUGGACAUGUGAGACGACGAGUGGUCGUCCAAUCUCUGCCUGGGCCCCCCUAGGAACGGAACCUGCCACUGCCUAAGGCAGUCCAUUGCUGUUUGGUGUAGCCUGAAUUAUCAGAAACUCUUUCCUGACAUCAAGCCUGAAUUUUCCUCUCUAAGACUCCCAACCACGGCUCCAGGUUUUGACUUUUGCAUCCGUGCAAAAGAACAAGUUUAACCUCUCUUUAAUGCCACAGACUUUUGGAUGGUUGAAGUCAGCCUGGCCUAAGUCUCUUCCUCUCCAGGCUAAACCCGCCCAGAUGCCUCAAGCAGUCUUCAUAAGGCAUGAUCUCCAGGGUCUUCACUCACCACAUCGCACUCCUGCGGAGGCUCUCCAGCCAGCUGGUAGCCUACAUCUCAUUUCAUCCUCCAUGUUUCUCCUUGUCACUGUUGUCCUUCUGCAGGACGAAGAACCAAGUAUCAGGUCCACAGCAUUCCUUCCUCAAGUAUAUCAGCCUUACCACGACACCAAUGGCAGCAAACUGAAAGACCACGUAGAGUUUUGGCUUUGUUUUUAUCGUUUGUUGCGCAUUAUUAUUCAUCCUGUGGGAGACAGUACUAAUGAGAGACUCAGUCCCACAAUCGCUGUUCCAUAGUCACAGCUCAUCACUAUAAGUCAUUAUCAUAGCCCCCGUCAUGAAUAGCAUUAACGAUCAAUACCAUCAUUGACCGCCUCCUCACCAUCCCCAUCUUCACCCUCACCACCACCAGCAUAAUCGUUACCACUGUCAUCCUCUCCAGUGCCUUCAUCCCCAAUCUCCCCAUUGCGAUCAUUACCGUCACAACCACAACCACUCCCAUAAUCAGUGUCAUCAUCUACAACGACCUCAUCACCACCACUAUCGACUCCAACAUCACUGUCAUUAUCACCGGCCUCCGCAUUACCACUGCCACGGCUGCCAUGAUCGGCUUAACAGUCAGUACCGGGACCUCUAUCACCUCUUACCAUCACUACCUCUCAGUCAUUCCUGUCACUAUGCCCACCACCACCAUCACGACUGACUGCAACAGUCUUUAUCAUCACCAACCUCUCCACCAUCAGUGCCAUCACUACCGUCAUCUACUUAAUAACCAUUAUUUCAGUGACCAUCCCAAUCCUUCCACAAUUGGUCACAAUAAUCAAUCAUUGCUUCCGUCACCAUCCAAAGUCCCUGAUUCAGUCUGUAACUGCUCACAAACUGUCCUGAACAUUGUACAAAGGCAAUUCCAAGGGCACGACCCCUUAGACAGGUAGCUAUCACUUUAUGCCACACAGCACGUACAUCCAAUGAUGAUAUGCAAAGCACAAUGGGACAUGACAUAUGUCUGUACGAUGUGUUCAGUGCAGGGAAACACAUUGUAUGUUUAAACUGAUGGGAGCACAGUAGUGCAAAGAGAAACACGACACACACGUACACCAUGAGACACAUGUCAGUGUAUGAGGAUGUUGACAUAUGUGUGACAUGUGAGGAAACAAGACAGAGUGUACGAUGGAUGCGUAGCGCAUGGCACCCACGCCCUCUUCUUGCCUUCCUCUCAAAGGAAUGUACUUUCUAGAUGGAGACCAUGUCAUCGAAGAAACAUUUCAUAUUUUCAU
This is a non-coding RNA of Phascolarctos cinereus (koala), 1873 nucleotides long. NCBI's taxonomy places the organism in Eukaryota, Metazoa, Chordata, Mammalia, Diprotodontia, Phascolarctidae. The record is from RefSeq and is a predicted model, not a curated record.